UUUGGGUAAAUUUAUUAGUAAAGUGUGAUAUGUAUCCAGCUUGUAUUACUUAUAUAAAACCUAUAUAGAUAUAAGUUGAAAAAACUGAAUUCUGUUUUCAAAAUAAAAUUGUCAAAAAAUAUUAAUGCUUCUACUGAAAAAUGAAAUAGAAUUUGCCAGGUGUGUGAAGGUUACACAUUGAAUGAUAGCAUUUAAUUUAAGGAUGGUGGAAAAAAACAUUUUUAACUUAUCAAUCCUUUUCCGGAAAUCAAAGUUUCAUGUGCCUAAACGUAGUUUUGCACAGACAGGGCUAACUAUAUCCGGGCCUCCGAGGGUCCGUUGUUCUCAUGGAGAAAAGCUAGCUCACAUGGCGUUUAUCACGGCGUUUUGGCUCUCGCCAGUUCUAUACUUCCUGACUCAGUUAAAAGUGUGGCGUCGUGAGUACAUUCAAGGAAAUGCUGGAUAAAAAUUGAGUUAUUAUAAAUGGAGAGAAUUAUUUUAAUAAAUUAUUCGCUAUAGA
This is a long non-coding RNA of Pieris napi, 499 nucleotides long. RefSeq lists it as uncharacterized. The transcript has 2 exons. Lineage: Eukaryota; Metazoa; Arthropoda; Insecta; Lepidoptera; Pieridae. The record is from RefSeq and is a predicted model, not a curated record.